AUGGCGAGGAAGUUGGAGCACAGUUGCUCAAGCUGGAUCACUAUCUUUGCAGGGACAUAUGGCUACAUAGCACCAGAAUUGUCAUCUACCAAUGUGUUGACUGAGAAAUGUGACGUGUACAGCUUCGGCGUGGUUGCACUCGAAGUAUUGAUGGGAAAGCACCCAGGUGAUCUGCUCCUUCCAUUCUUUGGCCAAACAGAGCAGCCGGCAAAGCUCAAGGACAUCCUGGAUCGACGGAUCAUAGCACCGUCGACUGUCGAUGAGGAGAAAAAUGUCAUCCUGGUUGCUUUGAUGGCCUUUGCUUGUCUGCAAGUCUCUCCAAAAGCCCGGCCAACAAUGCAGCAGGUAUACCAGGCCCUCACAAGUAGAAGCCAUCCAGAGCUCAUGCUUAGGCCCCUUCAUGAAAUCAGGCUGCAAGAUUUGCAUGAUUUUUGUGGCACCAUAAAAAAUAUAUGA
This 456-nucleotide ribosomal RNA is filed under the name Triticum aestivum (bread wheat). Its description in RNAcentral is "partial small subunit ribosomal RNA". Lineage: Eukaryota; Viridiplantae; Streptophyta; Magnoliopsida; Poales; Poaceae. The record is from RNAcentral.